This 98-nucleotide non-coding RNA is filed under the name Tumebacillus flagellatus. RNAcentral's name for it is "Glycine sequence". It matches the Rfam family "Glycine riboswitch aptamer". Rfam says of the family: This family represents the bacterial glycine riboswitch. Glycine riboswitches usually consist of two metabolite-binding aptamers domains with similar structures in tandem. The aptamers cooperatively bind glycine to regulate the expression of downstream genes. The record is from Rfam by way of RNAcentral. Lineage: Bacteria; Bacillati; Bacillota; Bacilli; Caryophanales; Alicyclobacillaceae.
GGACGACACUCUGGAGAGACCCGUAUCGUGCGGGCGCCGAAGGGGCAAACAGAUGGUGUAUCUGUGAAACUCUCAGGCAAAAGGACAGAGUCAGGCAA